Long non-coding RNA from Struthio camelus australis, 211 nucleotides. RefSeq lists it as uncharacterized. NCBI's taxonomy places the organism in Eukaryota, Metazoa, Chordata, Aves, Struthioniformes, Struthionidae. The record is from RefSeq and is a predicted model, not a curated record.
GUGCUGUUGUGACACGCAGAAUGUUAUGCUCUUGUGAAUGAAUUCUGCUCCCGUCAAUUCCAAGCCUAGACUCCUAGAGCAACAGGAGGAAGAAUGAUUCACCAGCCUGCAACUGGCAGAGCUAAUUACAACUACAGACUCAAAUCGAAGAGUCUGAAGUUCCUGUUCCAUCUCCAGUUUGAAGCCUUCCAUGGCUUGUUUAUGUGUUUCU